RNAcentral lists this long non-coding RNA (301 nucleotides) under Elaeis guineensis (African oil palm). Its description in RNAcentral is "long non-coding RNA (EGUI_LNC067896)". Lineage: Eukaryota; Viridiplantae; Streptophyta; Magnoliopsida; Arecales; Arecaceae. The record is from RNAcentral.
UUUGGGGUGCCCACUUUAAUCCAAUUGGGCUCACGUCAUAAUCUGAUUAUGGUGCCCAAUUUAAUAUAGUUUUGGCAUGUGGACACUCCACAAAAAUCUUCUAAUGAGCUUUCUUCAGUUUAAGACCCAUAUGUCAAUAUUUGACAGAUGUCCUAAAAUAAAAUUGGCAGGUGACAGGAAUUAGCAGGUGAUUGUCUUAAAUUCAUCUUAUAAAUUAAGACAAACCUUUUCUGAGCUGGACAAGCUUCAUUUAGACUGAGAAAAACCUUCUCAAGGUUCUUUGGGUGAGUCAAAUCAUAUU